UACGUAGGGUGCAAGCGUUAAUCGGAAUUACUGGGCGUAAAGCGUGCGCAGGCGGUUUUGUAAGUCUGACGUGAAAGCCCCGGGCUCAACCUGGGAAUUGCGUUGGAGACUGCACGGCUUGAAUCUGGCAGAGGGGGGUAGAAUUCCACGUGUAGCAGUGAAAUGCGUAGAGAUGUGGAGGAACACCGAUGGCGAAGGCAGCCCCCUGGGUCAAGAUUGACGCUCAUGCACGAAAGCGUGGGGAGCAAACAGG
This 253-nucleotide ribosomal RNA is filed under the name uncultured bacterium. RNAcentral describes it as "partial 16S ribosomal RNA". It matches the Rfam family "Bacterial small subunit ribosomal RNA", at positions 524 to 776 of the family's 1533-position model. The record is from RNAcentral.